CGGAGGAUCCAAGCGUUAUCCGGAAUCAUUGGGUUUAAAGGGUCCGUAGGCGGUUUAGUAAGUCAGUGGUAAAAGCCCAUCGCUCAACGGUGGAACGGCCAUUGAUACUGCUAAACUUGAAUUAUUAGGAAGUAACUAGAAUAUGUAGUGUAGCGGUGAAAUGCUUAGAGAUUACAUGGAAUACCAAUUGCGAAGGCAGGUUACUACUAAUGGAUUGACGCUGAUGGACGAAAGCGUGGGUAGCGAACAGGAUUAGAUACCCUGGUAGUCCACGCCGUAAACGAUGGAUACUAGCUGUUGGGGGCAACUUCAGUGGCUAAGCGAAAGUGAUAAGUAUCCCACCUGGGGAGUACGUUCGCAAGAAUG
This 366-nucleotide ribosomal RNA is filed under the name uncultured organism. RNAcentral describes it as "bacterial SSU rRNA". It matches the Rfam family "Bacterial small subunit ribosomal RNA", at positions 526 to 896 of the family's 1533-position model. The record is from RNAcentral.